RNAcentral lists this ribosomal RNA (253 nucleotides) under uncultured bacterium. Its description in RNAcentral is "partial 16S ribosomal RNA". It matches the Rfam family "Bacterial small subunit ribosomal RNA", at positions 524 to 776 of the family's 1533-position model. The record is from RNAcentral.
UACGUAGGGGGCAAGCGUUAUCCGGAUUUACUGGGUGUAAGGGGAGCGUAGACGGCGGCGCAAGCCAGAUGUGAAAGCCCGGGGCUCAACCCCGGGACUGCAUUUGGAACUGUGCUGCUAGAGUGUCGGAGAGGCAGGCGGAAUUCCUAGUGUAGCGGUGAAAUGCGUAGAUAUUAGGAGGAACACCAGUGGCGAAGGCGGCCUGCUGGACGAUGACUGACGUUGAGGCUCGAAAGCGUGGGGAGCAAACAGG